Molecule: ribosomal RNA, 327 nt
Filed under: uncultured Methanosarcinales archaeon
Lineage: Archaea; Methanobacteriati; Methanobacteriota; Methanomicrobia; Methanosarcinales
Description: bacterial SSU rRNA
Rfam family: Archaeal small subunit ribosomal RNA
Source: RNAcentral
CCCUACGGGGCGCAGCAGGCGCGAAAACUUUACAAUGCUGGAAACAGCGAUAAGGGGACCUCGAGUGCCAGGUUACAAAUCUGGCUGUCGUGAUGCCUAAAAAGCAUUGCAUAGCAAGGGCCGGGCAAGACCGGUGCCAGCCGCCGCGGUAAUACCGGCGGCUCGAGUGGUGGCCACUAUUACUGGGCUUAAAGCGUUCGUAGCUGGUUUGUUAAGUCUCUGGGGAAAUCUUCCGGCUUAACCGGAAGGCGUCUCAGGGAUACUGGCAGACUAGGGACCGGGAGAGGUGAGAGGUACUCCAGGGGUAGGAGUGAAAUCCUGUAAUCC